Molecule: transfer RNA, 72 nt
Filed under: Stegodyphus mimosarum
Lineage: Eukaryota; Metazoa; Arthropoda; Arachnida; Araneae; Eresidae
Rfam family: tRNA
About the family: Transfer RNA (tRNA) molecules are approximately 80 nucleotides in length. Their secondary structure includes four short double-helical elements and three loops (D, anti-codon, and T loops).
Source: Rfam by way of RNAcentral
GCCUUUAUGGUGUAGUGGUCAGCACGCUCGACCGUAUUCCAGAGGCCCGUGGUUCGAGUCUCGGCGAGGGUA